AUAUUAAUAAGCGGAGGAAAAGAAAACAACAGUGAUUCCCCCAGUAACUGCGAGUGAAGCGGGACAAGCUCAGACUGAAAAUCUUCGGAAUUGUAGUCUGUAGAAGUCAGGUCAGCCAUUGUCGUCGAGCAAACUCUUUCUGGAAUGAAGGGCCGUGGAGGGUGAUAGCCCCGUCUAUGCUUGAUGUACAAGGUGUACGACCGGCUUUCAACGAGUCGAGUUGUUUGGGAUUGCAGCUCUAAGUGGGUGGUAAAUUCCAUCUAAAGCUAAAUAUCGGUGGGAGACCGAUAGCGCACAAGUA
Molecule: ribosomal RNA, 301 nt
Filed under: uncultured eukaryote
Lineage: Eukaryota
Description: partial large subunit ribosomal RNA
Rfam family: Eukaryotic large subunit ribosomal RNA
Source: RNAcentral